This 670-nucleotide ribosomal RNA is filed under the name Klebsiella pneumoniae. RNAcentral's name for it is "partial 23S ribosomal RNA". It matches the Rfam family "Bacterial large subunit ribosomal RNA", at positions 1183 to 1838 of the family's 2925-position model. The record is from RNAcentral. Lineage: Bacteria; Pseudomonadati; Pseudomonadota; Gammaproteobacteria; Enterobacterales; Enterobacteriaceae.
UAAACCAUGCACCGAAGCUGCGGCAGCGACACUAUGUGUUGUUGGGUAGGGGAGCGUUCUGUAAGCCUGCGAAGGUGUGCUGUGAGGCAUGCUGGAGGUAUCAGAAGUGCGAAUGCUGACAUAAGUAACGAUAAAGCGGGUGAAAAGCCCGCUCGCCGGAAGACCAAGGGUUCCUGUCCAACGUUAAUCGGGGCAGGGUGAGUCGACCCCUAAGGCGAGGCCGAAAGGCGUAGUCGAUGGGAAACAGGUUAAUAUUCCUGUACUUGGUGUUACUGCGAAGGGGGGACGGAGAAGGCUAUGUUAGCCGGGCGACGGUUGUCCCGGUUUAAGCAUGUAGGCUGGUUAUCCAGGCAAAUCCGGAUAAUCAAGGCUGAGGUGUGAUGACGAGGCACUACGGUGCUGAAGUAACAAAUGCCCUGCUUCCAGGAAAAGCCUCUAAGCAUCAGGUAACAUCAAAUCGUACCCCAAACCGACACAGGUGGUCAGGUAGAGAAUACCAAGGCGCUUGAGAGAACUCGGGUGAAGGAACUAGGCAAAAUGGUGCCGUAACUUCGGGAGAAGGCACGCUGGUGUGUAGGUGAAGCCCCUGCGGGUGGAGCUGAGACCAGUCGAAGAUACCAGCUGGCUGCAACUGUUUAUUAAAAACACAGCACUGUGCAAACACGAAAGU